UACCGAAUAAAACUUAGUGUCGCAUGACACAAAGUUAAAAGGCGCUUCGGCGUCACCUAUAGAUGGAUCCGCGGUGCAUUAGUUAGUUGGUGGGGUAAAGGCCUACCAAGACAAUGAUGCAUAGCCGAGUUGAGAGACUGAUCGGCCACAUUGGGACUGAGACACGGCCCAAACUCCUACGGGAGGCUGCAGUAGGGAAUCUUCCACAAUGGGCGAAAGCCUGAUGGAGCAACGCCGCGUGUGUGAUGAAGGCUUUCGGGUCGUAAAGCACUGUUGUAUGGGAAGAACAGCUAGAAUAGGAAAUGAUUUCAGUUUGACGGUACCAUACCAGAAAGGGACGGCUAAAUACGUGCCAGCAGCCGCGGUAAUACGUAUGUCCCGAGCGUUAUCCGGAUUUAUUGGGCGUAAAGCGAGCGCAGACGGUUUAUUAAGUCUGAUGUGAAAGCCCGGAGCUCAACUCCGGAAUGGCAUUGGAAACUGGUUAACUUGAGUGCAGUAGAGGUAAGUGGAACUCCAUGUGUAGCGGUGGAAUGCGUAGAUAUAUGGAAGAACACCAGUGGCGAAGGCGACUUACUGGACUGCAACUGACGUUGAGGCUCGAAAGUGUGGGUAGCAAACAGGAUUAGAUACCCUGGUAGUCCACACCGUAAACGAUGAACACUAGGUGUUAGGAGGUUUCCGCCUCUUAGUGCCGAAGCUAACGCAUUAAGUGUUCCGCCUGGGGAGUACGACCGCAAGGUUGAAACUCAAAGGAAUUGACGGGGACCCGCACAAGCGGUGGAGCAUGUGGUUUAAUUCGAAGCAACGCGAAGAACCUUACCAGGUCUUGACAUCCUUUGAAGCUUUUAGAGAUAGAAGUGUUCUCUUCGGAGACAAAGUGACAGGUGGUGCAUGGUCGUCGUCAGCUCGUGUCGUGAGAUGUUGGGUUAAGUCCCGCAACGAGCGCAACCCUUAUUGUUAGUUGCCAGCAUUCAGAUGGGCACUCUAGCGAGACUGCCGGUGACAAACCGGAGGAAGGCGGGGACGACGUCAGAUCAUCAUGCCCCUUAUGACCUGGGCUACACACGUGCUACAAUGGCGUAUACAACGAGUUGCCAACCCGCGAGGGUGAGCUAAUCUCUUAAAGUAC
RNAcentral lists this ribosomal RNA (1129 nucleotides) under uncultured Leuconostoc sp. RNAcentral's name for it is "bacterial SSU rRNA". It matches the Rfam family "Bacterial small subunit ribosomal RNA", at positions 167 to 1284 of the family's 1533-position model. The record is from RNAcentral. Lineage: Bacteria; Bacillati; Bacillota; Bacilli; Lactobacillales; Lactobacillaceae.